GGCUGUGAUGAUUGCUAUCUUAUUUCUGACACCUCUUGUAUGAGAAGUGUUUCUUCUUCAUCAUCGGAAUGAGGAACACUUCGCUGAGCAGAUUGUAGCAAAUGUAUCUGAGCA
RNAcentral lists this small nucleolar RNA (114 nucleotides) under Leersia perrieri. RNAcentral's name for it is "snoRNA snoR1". It matches the Rfam family "Small nucleolar RNA snoR1". From Rfam's summary of the family: snoR1 is a member of the C/D class of snoRNA which contain the C (UGAUGA) and D (CUGA) box motifs. Lineage: Eukaryota; Viridiplantae; Streptophyta; Magnoliopsida; Poales; Poaceae. The record is from Rfam by way of RNAcentral.